AUUCAAAUAGCUUAAUGAGAGCGUAAUAUUGAAGAUAUUAAGGUAAUGAAAAUUUUUGAGUA
This 62-nucleotide transfer RNA is filed under the name Afissula kambaitana. Its description in RNAcentral is "tRNA-Phe". The record is from RNAcentral. Lineage: Eukaryota; Metazoa; Arthropoda; Insecta; Coleoptera; Coccinellidae.